RNAcentral lists this ribosomal RNA (468 nucleotides) under uncultured bacterium. RNAcentral's name for it is "partial 16S ribosomal RNA". It matches the Rfam family "Bacterial small subunit ribosomal RNA", at positions 29 to 507 of the family's 1533-position model. The record is from RNAcentral.
AUGAACGCUGGCGGCGUGCUUCACACAUGCAAGUCGAACGGUGAAGCUCCAGCUUGCUGGAGUGGAUCAGUGGCGAACGGGUGAGUAACACGUGAGCAACCUGCCCCUGACUCUGGGAUAACAGCCGGAAACGGCUGCUAAUACCGGAUAUGCACCAUGAACGCAUGUUCUGUGGUGGGAAAGAUUUUUCGGUUGGGGAUGGGCUCGCGGCCUAUCAGCUUGUUGGUGAGGUAAUGGCUCACCAAGGCGUCGACGGGUAGCCGGCCUGAGAGGGUGACCGGCCACACUGGGACUGAGACACGGCCCAGACUCCUACGGGAGGCAGCAGUGGGGAAUAUUGCACAAUGGGCGAAAGCCUGAUGCAGCAACGCCGCGUGAGGGAUGACGGCCUUCGGGUUGUAAACCUCUUUUAGCAGGGAAGAAGCGAGAGUGACGGUACCUGCAGAAAAAGCGCCGGCUAACUACGUG